Molecule: signal recognition particle RNA, 264 nt
Filed under: Chloroflexi bacterium RBG_13_54_9
Lineage: Bacteria; Bacillati; Chloroflexota
Description: signal recognition particle sRNA large type
Rfam family: Bacterial large signal recognition particle RNA
About the family: The signal recognition particle (SRP) is a universally conserved ribonucleoprotein involved in the co-translational targeting of proteins to membranes. Archaeal SRP consists of a 7S RNA and homologues of the eukaryotic SRP19 and SRP54 proteins.
Source: RNAcentral
CCGUGCUAGGCGGGGAGCUAGCGGUGCCCUGUACCCGCAAGCCGCUAUAGCGGGGUUGAAUUCCCACUCGAGGUCUCGAGCUUUGUGGGACUGUCUUCGUUAAGUGGUGUUGAAGGCCGGGUCCUGCGCAGCGGAGCGCCAUGAACCCCGUCAGGUUCGGAAGAAAGCAGCGGUAAAUGGAAGCUUCCGGGUGCCGCAAGAACGCCUGGUUGGAGUUGGCUGACAGGGACAAGCCAGAGAGCGGGAUCGACAGUGGGUGCGCGG